AUGGCAGUUGAAUUUUGUUGUAAACGCAACCAUGGCGACCCAUGUGAGGCGAGGCAUGGCGAUGCAGCCCGGUCAACGCGGAUGGGCUCGAUGCAGAGGGGGCGUCGGCUCCAGGUGAUGCAGCGAAACGACAGGAUCGGGUGCAGCUGUUCGAGUUGGGUGGGAUCCGUGGCAGGAGGCAGGUUCGGGCGGCAGAGGGCUGAAUCCGGUCGAUGGGGCGACCUGCAGGUGAGCGGCGGCAGCGGCUUGGGAUGGUGGCGAAGCUGCAUCUCGGGCGGCGCCAUGGCUCCCUGUGCAGAGAAAACGAGACGAGGGGGAGGUCAGGGAGGAGUAGCAGGAGGAGGGAAGGAAAAUAAGGCGGUGGAGAAGGCCUUGCUCCCCUGA
This 384-nucleotide ribosomal RNA is filed under the name Triticum aestivum (bread wheat). RNAcentral's name for it is "partial small subunit ribosomal RNA". The record is from RNAcentral. Lineage: Eukaryota; Viridiplantae; Streptophyta; Magnoliopsida; Poales; Poaceae.